GAUCAUGGCUCAGAUUGAACGCUGGCGGCAGGCUUAACACAUGCAAGUCGAACGGUAACAUAAAGAAGCUUGCUUCUUUGAUGACGAGUGGCGGACGGGUGAGUAAUGCUUGGGAAUCUAGCUUAUGGAGGGGGAUAACUACGGGAAACUGUAGCUAAUACCGCGUAAUAUCGAAAGAUUAAAGUGUGGGACCUUCGGGCCACAUGCCAUAAGAUGGGCCCAAGUGGGAUUAGGUAGUUGGUGAGGUAAAGG
This 252-nucleotide ribosomal RNA is filed under the name uncultured bacterium. Its description in RNAcentral is "partial 16S ribosomal RNA". It matches the Rfam family "Bacterial small subunit ribosomal RNA", at positions 15 to 263 of the family's 1533-position model. The record is from RNAcentral.